GAUGAACGCUAGCUACAGGCUUAACACAUGCGAGUCGCGGGGCAGCAUGGGGGUUGCUUGCACUCCCCGAUGGCGACCGGCGCACGGGUGAGUAACGCGUAUCCAACCUGCCCUUCACCACGGGAUAACCCGGCGAAAGUCGGACUAAUACCGUAUGUUGUCCAUUGACGGCAUCCGAUUUGGACGAAAGGUUUGGCGGUGAAGGAUGGGGAUGCGUCCGAUUAGCUGGACGGCGGGGUGACGGCCCACCGUGGCGACGAUCGGUAGGGGUUCUGAGAGGAAGGUCCCCCACACUGGAACUGAGACACGGCCCAGACUCCUACGGGAGGCAGCAGUGAGGAAUAUUGGUCAAUGGGCGUAAGCCUGAACCAGCCAAGUAGCGUGCAGGAGGACGGCCCUAUGGGUUGUAAACUGCUUUUAUGCGGGGAUAAAGUGGCCCACGUGUGGGUUUUUGCAGGUACCGCAUGAAUAAGGACCGGCUAAUUCCGUG
This 490-nucleotide ribosomal RNA is filed under the name uncultured bacterium. RNAcentral's name for it is "partial 16S ribosomal RNA". It matches the Rfam family "Bacterial small subunit ribosomal RNA", at positions 28 to 507 of the family's 1533-position model. The record is from RNAcentral.